RNAcentral lists this ribosomal RNA (517 nucleotides) under uncultured Glomus. Its description in RNAcentral is "SSU rRNA". It matches the Rfam family "Eukaryotic small subunit ribosomal RNA", at positions 569 to 1089 of the family's 1831-position model. The record is from RNAcentral. Lineage: Eukaryota; Fungi; Glomeromycota; Glomeromycetes; Glomerales; Glomeraceae.
AGCAGCCGCGGUAAUUCCAGCUCCAAUAGCGUAUAUUAAAGUUGUUGCAGUUAAAAGGCUCGUAGUUGAAUUUCGAGAUCAAAUUGUUGGUCGUGCCUUGGUACGCACUGGCAUUAUUGGUUUCUCCCUUCUGACGAACCAUGAUGUCAUUAAUUUGGUGUCUUGGGGAAUCAGGACUGUUACUUUGAAAAAAUUAGAGUGUUUAAAGCAGGCCCACGCUUGAAUACAUUAGCAUGGAAUAAUGAAAUAGGACGUUUGAUUCUAUUUUGUUGGUUUCUAGGAUCGACGUAAUGAUUAAUAGGGAUAGUUGGGGGCAUUAGUAUUCAAUUGUCAGAGGUGAAAUUCUUGGAUUUAUUGAAGACUAACUACUGCGAAAGCAUUUGCCAAGGAUGUUUUCAUUAAUCAAGAACGAAAGUUAGGGGAUCGAAGACGAUCAGAUACCGUCGUAGUCUUAACCAUAAACUAUGCCGACUAGGGAUCGGAUGAUGUUAAUUUUUAAUGACUCAUUCGGCGUCCG